Molecule: ribosomal RNA, 468 nt
Filed under: uncultured bacterium
Lineage: Bacteria
Description: partial 16S ribosomal RNA
Rfam family: Bacterial small subunit ribosomal RNA
Source: RNAcentral
GACGAACGCUGGCGGCGUGCUUAACACAUGCAAGUCGAACGGAAAGGCCCUGCUUUUGUGGGGUGCUCGUGUGGCGAACGGGUGAGUAACACGUGAGUAACCUGCCCUUGACUUUGGGAUAACUUCAGGAAACUGGGGCUAAUACCGGAUAGGAGCUCCUGCUGCAUGGUGGGGGUUGGAAAGUUUCGGCGGUUGGGGCUGGACUCGCGGCUUAUCAGCUUGUUGGUGGGGUAGUGGCUGUCGAAGGCUUUGACGGGUAGCCGGCCUGGGAGGGUGACCGGCCACAAUAGGACUGAGAUACGGCCCAGACGCGUACGGGAGGCAGCAGGGGGGAAUAUUACACAAUGAGCGGAAGCCUGAUGCAGCGACGCCGCGUGCGGGAUGACGUCCUUCGAGUUGUAAACCGCUUUCGCCUGUGACGAAGCGUGAGUGACGGUAAUGGGUAAAGAAGCACCGGCUAACUACGUG